RNAcentral lists this unclassified non-coding RNA (2361 nucleotides) under Hevea brasiliensis (rubber tree). The record is from RNAcentral. Lineage: Eukaryota; Viridiplantae; Streptophyta; Magnoliopsida; Malpighiales; Euphorbiaceae.
GGUGGUGGUGGUGGUGGUGGUGGCGGCUGCGGCGGCAUUAGAGUUGAAAUAGUCAGAUUGGUUGCUUGCCUUGAAUGAAGAGGAAGGGAUGGGGGUGGAGGAGGUCCAACUCUAAUAGCACCAUUCUCCUUCAAAGGUGGAGUUGGAGGAGGUGGUGGUGUUGGAGGAGGAGGUGGUGGUGUUGAGGCUCCCGCUUUAAUGGCGAGCUUAUCUCUCGAAGGUGGCACUGAAGGAGGUGGUAUUCCUAAAGGAGGAGUGGGAGGCAGUGGUGAAGUUACAAGAGUAUCACGACCAAGUUGGGGAGUGCCUGAUGACAUCUGAUCUUUGCCCCUUAAAAAAGUUUCAGUCCUCUUGGUAAAUGAGGGAUCUAUUGAUUUUGAAGCAGAAAUAUGAUGAGGAGGUGUUGAUGAAGUUGGAAGAGUUUUUGAGGCAUUGGAAUUCGUGAUAGUUCGCAAUGGAGGUAUUGAUGGUGAAACAAAAACACUUGAAGGUUUCACAGGUUCAAUUCCAUCUGGAAGUGACAAGGUUUGAUUUGAGGCAUCCUUAGAUAUUUUCUUAUGAGUGAUAUCAGCUCUUUCAAAUGAGGCAUCAACAUGUGAUGUAGUUUUAGCGUGAGAAUCUAAUGGUAACUGAGAUGGUUGUUGACACGUAAGAUCAGAUUGACUGGCAAGUUGAAGGCCAACUUGAAUGUCUUUGUGCUUAUCCUCCUCAAUCGCAUGAGCAUGUGGAGAGGAUUUUGGUGAGUGUAGAAACUCAAUCUUUUGUGUUGAGAACAUGGAGCUCUCCAUUCCACUAUUCAAGGUCAUGUGUUUCUUUCUCUCCUGAUGCUUUUUAGGACUUGUUUCCAAUCUAUAAGGGCUUCGAGGACUUUGAGGGCUAAGUUGUACACCAUAUACCAAAUCAGUGUCAAAGUUUUCUUGGACAACAUUUGAUGCACUAAUUUGUUGAAGCACAUUACGUGCAACAUCUGCCUUGGAAUCUAACCAAUCAACAGAGCUAAAGAUCUCACGAACUUUAGCAAAUGCUUCCAUUGGUAGACCUUCUUUCUCCUCAAACCCAGAGAAAUCUACUGCAGCAACUGAAUUAGUAGCAUCCACCUCUGAGAAAAGAAUCUCUGCUCUGAAGUUCUUUGGAAAUUGAACCUUAGCAUCCCACAAAGUAUCAAUUUCGUCACGGUUAAGUAUCAAGAUGUUUGACCUAAUAAAAGCAGUGUUAAACACAGCUCGAAACAUCAUUUGUUCAUGCUCCAUGUCAUCAUCCAAACUGAUACACUCAAGCACAACAUCACCUUGGAUAUGGCAAUUGAUGUCAAUUUUAACUAGUUCGCAUUCUGUCUGCUUAUAAGCCCGGGCACUUUUGCCUUUCCUAGGAGUUGAGCACAUAAUAUUGGUAGUUUCCUCUGAAAUAUCAUGUCCAUAUAAUCGAAAAACUGGACGACAACCCCCCUCUCCAUCAAAAUUAGGAAUAAAUCUUAGAAUAACACAAUCCAAUGUAAGACAUCUGUCCAAUGGAGGCCAUUCUGAAGCCACAUUCCUCCUUGAAACAUAUUGUAGAUACCUCAAUUGAGAAGGGAUAGGAUUCAGUGGUGACAGUAAGUGCAAAAGCUCCCUAGGAGCCUGUCUGUAAAUCAUGUCAAGAGUCUUCUGUUCUACACUGUACUGCUUCCUAUAAAUCAAUAGUGCUGCCAGCAUAAAAGCCAAAACUGGCCAGCCACCCCGCUCACAAUGCAUUAGAAGCAGAUUCUGUUGCCCAAGUGAGAGCCAACUUUCACCUGAUCUUAGAAAAUGGUGGAUCACCUCCAUUUUGAGCAAUGGGCAACCUUCAUAUUGCCGAGGGUAAUCCAUGAUGGUCAUAUCAUAUUCAGACAGGAUGUCAGCAAACUGGCUUUGUCUCUUUCCCUCACGGAAAUUGAACACCAAGAAUGAAGAAUCAGGGAAGUGUUCUUUAAGUUGACCAACUAUUCCACCCAUAUAGCUUUUAUAAUUUUCUUCUUGCCAAGCAUCGGUGGUAAAGCAGUAAUCAAAGACAUAAACACGCUCACAGAUCUCGAGCAAACCAUCAGGAGGCUUCCUGUAGAACAAUUUACGAAACAAUGCCAUCUCCGAUUCAAAUUCAAUCAGCACCUUCCGAAAUUAUCCAAGCAGAAACUGUUUUGUGACGUUUUUUUGGUUUUUGUUGUAUCUUUGUGUUUGUGUUAAGAGUUUAAACUUGGCUUUCGGGUAAAGAAAGCCAACAGAACGAUCGAUCGAUUGAUUGGGUCUGUUGAAUUUGUUCGUUGGCUGUGUGUCAGCUGCUGUGAUUUCAUUUUUAUUGUUUUCUGUGUUACCAACCGACGUAGCUUGGUGCGGUGGCGGGUUUUUU